CCCUUAUUUCCCCUUCAGCUUUUAACUUUUAAAAAAAUAUUUGUGCGGACUAAUGGUUUCUUUAUGUAACUUCUGUUCACUGCCAUAGUUUAUGAUAGAAAUUCUGUUAAAAGCUUUCAAUUACUUACUGAAAAUAACAAAUAAGGAAAUUGAACAAUAUCUGUUUGGUUUGAACUUUAUGAUGUAAUUAUAGCCAUACUAAUUUAUUAACCCUCAUCCAGGGGCAGUUCUAUUUCCCUCACACUCUCAAAUCCCAACUUUUCCUUCCACCCCCAGCUUCCCAGAAGAAAACAUUAGACAGAUAUAGUGACAUUUGAAGUAAUUAUAAGACAUUUAUCCAUUGUGAUGGUUAUAUUUGGUACUUAAUUACUGAAUAUUCUUCUGAAUAUUCUAAAUAUUAAAAUCUUCUGUAUCUUACUGGAUAUAAGAAGUCUUAGAUUCCUAUUUGAAUCAGAGUGCCUUUAGACAUAUUUCUUUUCAGAGUUCUAGUAUUCUUUACAAAGUCAUGACAGUUUACCUUUAACCGUUAUCAAGCAGGAAUCUAUAAACACCCACAAAUGUGUUUUCUGAAAAAAAAAAAAAGGCUUUUGCAUAUAGAAAUGUGGGUUGCCAUAGUGUUUGAUCGUCCAGAGCAAUGCUUUGCAAACUGUCUUCCUUGCAUGCUCUUCACCCGAGGCUUUGGUAGAGGUGCUUCAUGAGUUCUGCAAAUUUUUUUCCCUGAUUCUGUUUAAAAAGAGAGCUCUACUUAUUUUAAAAGGUUACAAAAAUAGCACCCAUGUUCCCAUCCAGAUUAGUAAUUUAUAAGACCAGAUAAAUUCAUUUUUGUGUACACCUCAGAAUGUAGCUUCUCUUAGCAUCUUUAAUGAUAAAGUAUCCUAAGAUUGCAAGAGAUGUUAUUUUAUUUAUUUAUUUUUUGUGGCGCCCUUGGCAUGUAGAAGUUCCCAGGCCAGGGAUCAAACCGGUACCACAGCAGUGACAGUGCUGAAUCCUUAACUCAAAUGUGCCGCAAGAGAACUCCAAGAGAUGCUAUUUUAAAAUAAAUGCUUACCAUAUAUAGAUACUUAUUUGUGAAAAUGUGGGUUUUCUUCAUAUAAUACAACUAAAACAAAAUGGGUAAAUCAUCUAUAUGCUUUUUUUUUGUCUUUUUGCUAUUUCUUGGGCCGAUCCCGUGGCAUAUGGAGGUUCCCAGACUAGGGGUCGAAUCGGAGCUAUAGCCACCGGCCUAUGCCAGAGCCACAGCAACGCUGAAUCCGAGCAGUGUCUGCAAUCUACACCACAGCUCACGGCAACACCGGAUCGUCAACCCACUGAGCAAGGGCAGGGACCGAACCCGCAACCUCAUGGUUCCCAGUCGGAUUUGUUAACCACUGAGCCACGACGGGAACUCCUAUGCUUUUUUUUGAUAGGACUGUAGCUCUUUUAUAAAGUGCCUGAUGUUAGAUGUUUCUGUUUAUCCAAAUAGUCAUUGUUCUUCUUGAUUGACUUAUAAAAUCAGUUCCCACUAAUGGAAUACACUUAAAUAUACUUGAAAAAAUGGUUAGUCUCUGCAGAAAAUUUUUAAACUACCAAUCUUAGAGGCAAUAUCCAUUUCAAUAUGUAAAUUUAGGAGACCCAUUAUUUAAAUUAUGUGUGUCUGCAUGAAUUUUAAAUGUAUUUCCUUUCAUGGAACAUUGAAUCAGGACUUUAAAAUUAGCUUUCCUUGAUCCUAAUAAAAUAAGAGAAAGGGCCGAAAUUAGGAAUUUGUGCUGCACUUAAGUAAAAACAAAAGUACUUUUAGUGGUCUGGAUUGAAGAGUCUUGAAAAGCAGCAGUCACCCUUAACUGUAAAUCUUUGUAGCUGUAUAGAUGGUGGCGAAAUGGUCAGGGAGCUAUGAGCUGGGCAGCAAUCUCAUGGCAUUACUGUAUUUCAGAGCUGACACUGGAAUUCGUAUUGUCUAUAAGAUCAGGGUAAAGUUUAGCCAGAAGUUUUAUGGCCCUUUGUAAUCUGUUUCCAGGUUCUUCUUGUUGCCUCUACCACAUUCUAC
This 2023-nucleotide long non-coding RNA is filed under the name Sus scrofa (pig). RNAcentral describes it as "lncRNA (ENSSSCG00030054168.1, ENSSSCG00040062453.1, ENSSSCG00060015627.1)". Lineage: Eukaryota; Metazoa; Chordata; Mammalia; Artiodactyla; Suidae. The record is from RNAcentral.